CAGUGCAUCCAGCGGGUGUGGGAGGUGCUGGGGCGUGCCGGGGUGCUGGGGUGAGGCCAGCGGCUGCAGCCUCGGUGGCCCAGCAUGAGGAGGUGGAGCUCAUGCACAGCCAGGAACACGUGGCCUUCAUGUUCAGCCUCCAGGCCCAGCGAGAGGAGGAGCUGCAGACCCUUCAGGAGAACUACAAGUCUGUCUACCUCCGCCCCGCCACCAACGUCUGUGCCCUGCUCUCGGCUGGCUCACUGCUGCAGAGGCCGUGGUGCUGAGUGAGUCUCCGAGGCUGUGUCUGGUGUGUGACGAGCAGGUGGAGCAACACGCAGCCUUACGGAAGGAGUGGCAUGGGUGACGCAGAGGCUUUCACUCAGGUGGUGCUGCCCGUGGCCUACCAGUUCAACCCACAGCUGGUCCUGGUCACUGCCAGCCUUGAUGCUGGUGCGGGGACCCACUUGGAGGUUGCUGCGUGAGUCCCGAUUGCUUUGAACAUAUGAUGGCCCUUCUGUCUGGCCUGGCCAAGGGCCGCAUAGUUCUGGCACUGGAGGGCGGCUUCAGCCUCAACACCAUCAGCUACUGCAUGACGCUGUGUGCCAAGGCUUUGCUGGGGGAUCCGCUGCCCCCCCUUGAGCCCCAGCUGGUGCCCAACAAGAGUGCCGUGCAGACCAUCAAUGACGUCAUCCGUACCCACAGCCGCUACUGGCUGGCGCUCUGCUUCACGAAAGAAGCAGCAGAAGAAGAAAAGAAGAGAAGGAAGAGGAGGAGAGGGUAUAUGUGUGUGUGUGUGUGUGUUAUAUGGACAGAAUUUAAACUGAUUUCUUUCAAUAUAUAUUUUAUUAUUAUUAUUGAAAGAAACUUCUCUUCUU
Eriocheir sinensis (Chinese mitten crab) is the source of this 857-nucleotide long non-coding RNA. RefSeq lists it as uncharacterized. The record is from RefSeq and is a predicted model, not a curated record. The transcript has 6 exons. NCBI's taxonomy places the organism in Eukaryota, Metazoa, Arthropoda, Malacostraca, Decapoda, Varunidae.